Molecule: ribosomal RNA, 444 nt
Filed under: uncultured bacterium
Lineage: Bacteria
Description: SSU rRNA
Rfam family: Bacterial small subunit ribosomal RNA
Source: RNAcentral
AGAGCGAACGCUGGCGGCAGGCCUAACACAUGCAAGUCGAGCGCCCCGCAAGGGGAGCGGCAGACGGGAGAGUAACACGUGGGAACGUACCCUUCAGUUCGGAACAACCCAGGGAAACUUGGGCUAAUACCGAAUACGUCCGUAAGGAGAAAGAUUUAUCGCUGAAGGAUCGGCCCGCGUCUGAUUAGCUUGUUGGUGAGGUAACGGCUCACCAAGGCGACGAUCAGUAGCUGGUCUGAGAGGAUGAUCAGCCUCACUGGGACUGAGACACGGCCCAGACUCCUACGGGAGGCAGCAGUGGGGAAUAUUGGACAAUGGGCGCAAGCCUGAUCCAGCCAUGCCGCGUGGGUGAUGAAGGCCCUAGGGUUGUAAAGCCCUUUCGGCGGGGAAGAUAAUGACGGUACCCGCAGAAGAGGCCCCGGCUAACUUCGCGCCAGCAGCCGC